GACGAACGCUGGCGGCGUGCUUAGCACAUGCAAGUCGAACGGAAAGGCCCUGCUUUUGUGGGGUGCCCGAGUGGCGAACGGGUGAGUAACACGUGAGUAACCUGCCCUUGACUUUGGGAUAACUUCAGGAAACUGGGGCUAAUACCGGAUAGGAGCUCCUGCUGCAUGGUGGGGGUUGGAAAGUUUCGGCGGUUGGGGAUGGACUCGCGGCUUAUCAGCUUGUUGGUGGGGUAGUGGCUUACCAAGGCUUUGACGGGUAGCCGGCCUGAGAGGGUGACCGGCCACAUUGGGACUGAGAUACGGCCCAGACUCCUACGGGAGGCAGCAGUGGGGAAUAUUGCACAAUGGGCGGAAGCCUGAUGCAGCAACGCCGCGUGCGGGAUGACGGCCUUCGGGUUGUAAACCGCUUUCGCCUGUGACGAAGCGUGAGUGACGGUAAUGGGUAAAGAAGCACCGGCUAACUACGUG
RNAcentral lists this ribosomal RNA (468 nucleotides) under uncultured bacterium. RNAcentral's name for it is "partial 16S ribosomal RNA". It matches the Rfam family "Bacterial small subunit ribosomal RNA", at positions 28 to 507 of the family's 1533-position model. The record is from RNAcentral.